Mirounga angustirostris (Northern elephant seal) is the source of this 4964-nucleotide long non-coding RNA. RefSeq lists it as uncharacterized. The transcript has 2 exons. The record is from RefSeq and is a predicted model, not a curated record. Lineage: Eukaryota; Metazoa; Chordata; Mammalia; Carnivora; Phocidae.
GCGAAUAGAAUGAUAUAAUUUCAAAUAAACACCUGCUUUCCGUACUUUUAUGUUGCAGUAAUGAUACACAUGCGCACGAUCAUUCCUUUUGUAUUCGUGGCGAUGCCGUUCAGGUCGCCCUGGAAUGGCUCUGUCCGAGGGCGCCCUCUGACGGCUGCAGACGCUCGCGCUCCCCGCCGGCCAGAGCCCCGAACGGCCCGGGCCCGGCCCGGCAGGGCGGCCGGGCGCCCUUCCCGCCGCGAGGGGGCGCGCGCUCCCUCCUCCCGCCGAGCCCGGACGUCGGGGCCGAGUCUGCGCGCAGGACCCGCUCGGGCGCCCGCGCGCGGAGGGAGGAGGCGCCCCCCGCGGGUGAGCGCGGGGCCCGCGGUCCUAAGCGCCGCCGCCCGCGCCCCGGGCCGCGCUCCGAGCCUCCGGGAAGGGCGCGCGGCGGGCGGCGGGCGGCGGGGGCGCACGCCGCACCUGCUCCCGCGGCGCCGGGGUCAGCGGAUUGGGGGUGAGAACCGGGGGCUGCCGGGAAACGGGGGGCUGGCGGCUGGUGUCGCCGCCCCUCGGCUUCCGUGGAGACCCGGAGCCCGAGGAGGGCGCCCCUCCCCCGUCGCCGCGCCUCCCAGGCCGCUCACUGGCCCCGGGGCCCGCAGGCGGAGCCGAGGGGAAACCCGUUCCUCGCAGACUGGAGGGCGCCGACGUGACGUUUUCCGUGGUUCGUGGACUGACGCCCAAAUCUCCGGAAUCAAGGCGGCUGCGUCUCGGGAAAAAAGGCGCUGCCCCGCCGGGCCUCGAACCGGGGCCCUUCGCGCGGAGGCGGCCGCGAUAACCGCUACGCCACGGGAGCGCUCGCGCGCCGGCCGCCGCGGGCCCGCGUGGUGAGGCGGCUCGGCCCCGGGCCUGGGCCCGUCGGCCGCCGGGCGGCCCGCGAAGGGCUCGCAGGGGCGCCGCGCUCUCCCCUCCGCUUCCGAAGAACCGAAACCCUGGUGUCCGAGCGAAAGCCUCACCCGGGGCCGCCACCCUCGCGCAAACUUCGGGCGCGAAAAGCCAGGCGGCGUCCCGGAGAAGGCGGCGGGGUCGGACUAAGCAGAAGGGUUUGCUUAAAAGAAUAACGAAAGCUGACGGCCAGCACUGCACGCACCUAAGGAGAACCGCAUGAUGGUCGGACUCACACGCACUGUCAACCGACCACCGCCGGAGAAUUUGACCUCAAGACCUCCGCGUGCCCUGGACACCGUCUCUGCCCCUGCGACGGAGCCCGAUUCGCCUCUCUCGGCGACCGCAAAGGACUCUCUGGGAACCAGAACGGAGCGGCUUGAGCUCGGGAGGCGGUCAGAAGCCCGAGCACUUUCUGCCACAGCCUCUUCCUCUGCAGGUAACUGACCAGAAGGGGUCGUGUGGCUCCAUCUCACGACCAGGCUUCUGCGACCCGUACGGGAGCACAUGAAACGCCUCGAGAACACCAUGGCUGGCCAGGAAUGCAAAUGCAGAAAGCUUUGUCCCCAAGGAACUCAGAGUCUAGUAGUUAGCUUUCCUUACAGAAGCAUGAUCUCUGUUCUACUGUUCCGUUGCCCAGGCUUACAGCCGGUACAAACAGGAAUCAAGACAAGAUUAUGUCACCUCCCGCUCGAAUCUCAUGCUCUCCCCAUCAUAGUUGAGCUGGACACAUGUUAAAGAAAAAAAAAUUAACAUGAGGUAUUAUGCCAACCAAGUUGGCAAUAUUUGGCAACAAAAUGUAAUGCCACGGUUGCUCUUGAUGAGACUCAGACUGAGAACAAGUCUUUCUAAAUUCGUUCUUAAAUGACUCCAAUAAAAAUGGACUGACUCGGGUAAAAGGUAAAUUCCUGUCUUGGGGAAUGGGUAAGGAUAGGAUAGUAAAAAAGGAAAGGAGUCAAUUGCAUGAUAGUUUAGUGGUAUGUGGGUCUGUAUUUUAGUCAGAGAUUUUGCUGAAAGUCGGAAAUAUUGCAGACUUUGUUUUCUGGAAUGAGAUAAGCUUAGAAGAGGGGAACUAUCACCUGUCUCAACCAUAUUUAGGGGAAUUAAUUCUACACUUCCAGAUUACAGCCCCCUAGUGCUAACUGGUAGAAGCGGUCCUUUGAGCCCAGCCUUAAGAGGUUAGUGUCCUCUUGUCCGAGAUAUUUGUAGUGGCCUCCUUGAGGCACUUAUCUGCUAAGCUCAGCUGAUACUCUCUAGCAUCUAUCACUACCACCUCUCUCCUCUCUUGAGACUCCAGAGGGCCAAGGACAAAGUGUGACCCAUGGGGAGGUGUGAUACACAUCAAAAUAAUUGCACGAUUUCCCAAAUUUAUACUGACAGAAACCUGGGCAAGUGUGAAUGGGAAUGGAUCUUAAGUGAAUAGGACCAAGGUGGCAGGAAUAUAAAGUUGCAUCAGACCAAGCUCACUGACAUAGUCUUACUUGGCAGAGGUACCCAGUUCAGUGUUUCAACUCAGGGACCUGGGAACAGCUCUAAAUUUUUAUUCAUUAAAAAAAGUAUAAUUAAUAAAUGAUUAAUAUAUGGACCCAAAGUUAGGACGAACCAACACAAUGAAAUUGAAACAUCAGUAUUUCCUUAGUGUAUGCAGAACAAACUAGAGGCGUAAGGAGAUUGAAAUUCUAGAAUGAAUGUAUCGUGGGCUUCUCCAGAGGGACUUGCACCAAGGUUGUGAGAAGGAAAUUCAUGAGGAGAGCCUCAGCAUGCCCGAUUUGCUCUGCGGUGACUUUUCCUCAUAGGCCAGAAAUUACAGGGGUUCCUGCUACCACUAAACUGGAAUCCCUGAACAUAAUGGCCAUGAUUGGAUCACAGGGUGAUAGGAGCCAAGUGUUGGCAAGGAAUUGCCAAAGACUAGAUGGGUGUUGUUACGAACUCAAAAUUCACAUGUUCUAAUGUGAAGCCCUAACCCCUAAUGUGACUGUAUUUGGAAAUAGGAACUUUCAGGAGGUAAAUAAGGUUAAAUGAGGUCAUAAGGGUGGGGCCCUCAUCCAAUAGGACUGGUUUCCUUAUAUGAAGACAAAGACAUACCAGAAAUCUCUCUCCGAGUCUGCGCAGAGGAAAGACCAUGUGAGGACAAGACAGGACCUGUGUCCUUUUACCAAAGUGACUGUGCAUUAGGGCAAAGGAAAUAGAAUUUUCUAGGAUUACUAGAAAAUGACUGGCAUUGAUUCCUAGAGGACAAAGCAUCACUGCUGUCCACCAAGCAAGGCAGAGACUCAAUGACUCAAUGACGUUUGCUUCUGGUCCAUUUCACUGUGGGCACAGUGGGUCCCUAAACCCACCCUUAGAUCAUUUCCCUAACUCCAGACAGUAUCUUUAGCAUCGUUUCUUUUAUUUAUUUUGAGAGAGAGAGCAUAGGGGGAGCGGCAGAGGGAGAGAGAGAAUGCCAAGCAGACUCCUCUUGGGGCAUGCAGCCAGAUCCAGGACUGGAUCCCAUGACCCUGGGAGCAUGACCUCAGUCGAAAUCAAGAGUCGGACGCUUAACCGGCUGAGCCACACAGGUGUCCCUACUAUUGUUUCUGUGACUGAUGGAGGGAAUGCUAUUACGGCAGAAAAGGCCAAGGGGAAGCCACUAGAAAUUCCUCUAACCGUGACAAUAGUAAACCCAGAGCAGCGCGGCUGUUCUUGGAGGGGUAGCAGGGCGUGGUGCCAACCUCAGGGACUGGAAAGAUGCAGGGGCGGAGAUUGCCUCCAUAUCUUCUUUCAGCUUGCCUAUUCAGCUGUCGGCGCUCUGUGGAGAAUGACAGUGAGCUACUGCAAAUUCAGUCAAGGGACUGUUCCAGUUGUAUCUGCCCUUCGGGUGUCGUGUCCUCGGCGGAGAAAAUCGGCACGUGCGCGGGCACGCAGUACACAGCUAUGGAUGAGGGACUCCUGAAUUCCUUGGUAGAGUAGAAGGAUUAGGAGAAAAUCAAGAUCUAGGUAAGAAUCACAGACAUUUCAAAGGAGCCUUUGAUUUGUGGAUGGACUCGAUAGUCUUCAUCCCAAGAUUACUUGAGUCUCCAAAGGGUUCUGUCAAAGGCCUGAGAAUCAAACCAAUGAAACUGCCCCACGGCUAGCCUUGGUUGGUCCCCGGUCUGUUGCAGAGCUGUGGACUGGGUAAAUGGCAAAGCUGAGGGCGGGGACUGGAGAUUGCUACAGAGUUACUCCACUCAGUGCUCUUUGCCCCUAAAGCCAAACAGGAUUUCCUGUAAAAACAACUCCUGGAAACUGUACGUUGUAAGAACUACACUCUGGCCCAGACCAAAAAUACUGCUUUCUCUGCAAAAACAAAAUACAUACACAAAAAAAACAGAUUUUGCAAGUUGUUACUCCUAGAUCCAAAGGAGGAAGUUUACACUAUUUAAAUUCUGUGAAUUUGGACAAAAUAGUCCAAGAUUGCACUGUGGAGAGAGGACUUCUUCCGCUUCUCCCAGAACACCCUAGAGCAAAUCAAGACAGCUCCCCUCACCAAGCUUUGAAAUCAGGGUGUGCAUUCCAGGUCUCGCUGGCCCUGAGUAGGGCCAAGCUAGAACCCCAUUCCAGAGCCUUCUUGCCUUGUUGCCUCAGGCUUCUUGACUGACUCCAGACUGACUCCAAAUUGCAAUUCACUCGCUCUGGGGCUCCUGGUGAGGCCUCCUUCAGAGCCCUCGUGUUGCUGAGUUCCAGAAAGGAAGCUCUCCGUUCACCAUUCAGAGGAGGCCUCUGGUAAAAACAGUUCCUGUCCCCCUCCUCAUUCGUAGUGUUUUCUUGAGCUCUUAUGUAAUAUUUUUUAGUAGGUACGUCCAAAGUCUAAAAUGGCAUGCAGUAACUUUCUCCUUCCUGCUCCUGAACAAUUCCAUCUCCUCAGUCUCCAGCCCCUCAACUGGUUACUGUUGUCAUGAGUUGACUGAUUACCCUUGAGAGAUUUUUUUUUUGUAAAAUGCAUAUGUAAUCUAACACAAAUGUACUUCCAGGGGUAGCAUUCUAUGCAGAUUGCUCUGACUGUUGUUUUUAUUUUAAAAUAUAUG